GAUGAAGAACGUAGCGAAAUGCGAUACUUGGUGUGAAUUGCAGAAUCCCGCGAAUCAUCGAGUUUUUGAACGCAAGUUGCGCCCGAAGCCAUUCGGCCGAGGGCACGUCUGCCUGGGUGUCACGCAUCGUUGCCCCCCCAAACUCCGGUUCGGGCGGGGCGGAAGUUGGCCUCCCGUGCGUGCCUGCGCGCGCGGUUAGCCCAAAAGCGAGUCCUCGGCGAUGAGCGCCACGACAAUCGGUGGUUUUUUUCCCCUCGUUCCUCGUCAUGCGUGCCCCGUCGCCCGAACGCGCUCUUGCAACCCUUACGCGUCGCCUCGGUGGCGCUCCCAACGCGACCCCAGGUCAGGCGGGACUACCCGCUGAGUUUAAGCAUAUCAAUAAGCGGAGGA
Molecule: unclassified non-coding RNA, 390 nt
Filed under: soil metagenome
Description: partial contains 5.8S ribosomal RNA, internal transcribed spacer 2, and large subunit ribosomal RNA
Rfam family: 5.8S ribosomal RNA (bases 1-122)
Source: RNAcentral